UGACGUCACCGCAGCCCGGCGCCCGCCGCCAUUGGAGUCGGCGGCCGCCGCUGCCCCCGCUCGGAGCGGCCCCAGGCCCGGCCCGCGGGCAUGUGAGACACGGGGCGGCACCGCCCAGCACCGCCGAGCCGCGGCACCGCCGCCCCGCACCGCCGCGACCCCCGAGGAGCCGCCCCGAGCAGGCGCCAGGCGGCCCCUUUCCCUCCCCCUCGGCCCCGGCCCCUUCCCCGCCCGGCCGCCGCCUGAGGGGAGAGGAGGCGCCGCCGCCGCCCCUCGGCCCCGCCAGGCCCCGCAGCCCCGCGGCCCUGCCUCGCCCCCCUCCCCGGCGCUCUCUCUGCUGAACCACGGCGGCCCUGUACAUGAAUUAUGUCUGCCACAAGCGUUGACCCUCAGAGACCGAAGGGACAGGAUAAUAAAGUACAAAAUGGUUCGUUACAUCAGAAGGACACAGUUCAUGACAACGAUUUUGAACCUUACCUUUCUGGGCAGUCAAAUCAGAACAGUAGCUAUCCAUCAAUGACUGAUCCUUAUCUGUCCAGUUAUUAUCCACCAUCUAUUGGGUUCCCCUAUUCUCUCAGUGAAGCACCAUGGUCUACAGGAGGAGAUCCUCCUAUCCCUUAUCUCACCACCUAUGGACAGCUCAGUAAUGGAGAUCAUCAUUUUAUGCACGAUGCUGUUUUUGGACAGCCUGGGGGUCUGGGAAAUAAUAUCUAUCAACACCGGUUUAACUUUUUCCCUGAAAAUCCUGCCUUCUCAGCUUGGGGAACAAGCGGGUCCCAAGGACAGCAGACUCAAAGUUCAGCAUAUGGGAGCAGUUACAGCUACCCACCCAGUUCACUGGGUGGUACCAUUGUGGAUGGACAAACAGGAUUUCAUAAUGAUACUUUAAAUAAAGCUCCUGGGAUGAACAGUAUUGAACAGGGAAUGGUUGGACUUAAGAUUGGUGGAGAUGUUACAACUUCUGCGGUGAAAACAGUAGGUUCUGUUGUUAACAGUGCCGGGAUGACAGGUGCCCUCUCUGGUAAUGGAUCUAAUGUAAACCUGCCAGUAUCUAAACCAACCUCUUGGGCUGCUAUUGCCAGUAAGCCUGCGAAACCACAGCCUAAAAUGAAAACAAAAACUGGGCCUGUAAUCGGAGGAGCGUUGCCUCCUCCCCCUAUAAAGCAUAAUAUGGACAUAGGUACCUGGGACAAUAAGGGUCCUGUGGCAAAAGUUCCUGCCCCCCAACAGAUACCUUCUCCUCAGUCUGUUCCACAGCCACAGCAACCAAUUGUUCAGCCUGUUCCAGCUCAGCCUCCUCCAUUGACUCAGCCGCAGUAUCAGGCCCCUCAGCAGCCACCCCAAAAUCGCUGGGUGGCUCCUCGCAACAGAAACGCAGCUUUUGGCCAAAGUGGAGGAACUGGGACCGACAGCAGCUCAGCUGGCAGCACCCAGCCCAACCCUGUCCCCAGCGGAGAGUCCCAUCCUGUCCUGGAAAAACUGAAAGCUGCUCACAGCUAUAACCCUAAAGAUUUCGAAUGGAACCUUAAAAAUGGACGCGUGUUCAUAAUAAAGAGCUAUUCUGAGGAUGAUAUUCAUCGUUCCAUUAAGUAUUCUAUUUGGUGUAGCACAGAGCACGGCAACAAACGCCUGGACAGCGCUUUUCGGUCCAUGAACAGCAAGGGUCCAGUCUACUUGCUGUUCAGUGUCAAUGGCAGUGGACACUUCUGUGGAGUUGCAGAGAUGAAAUCACCUGUGGACUAUGGCACCAGUGCGGGUGUCUGGUCUCAGGACAAGUGGAAGGGGAAAUUUGAUGUCAAGUGGAUCUUUGUGAAGGAUGUGCCCAACAACCAACUCCGACACAUCAGGCUGGAGAACAAUGACAACAAACCCGUUACAAACUCCCGUGAUACACAGGAGGUGCCCUUAGAAAAAGCAAAACAAGUGCUUAAAAUUAUUGCUACUUACAAGCACACGACCUCCAUCUUUGAUGACUUUUCUCAUUAUGAAAAGCGCCAGGAAGAGGAGGAGGUGGUGCGGAAGUAGUGCUAAAUAGCAGUAAGGAAGAGAAUUUGAGAGUUAGAGCUUCUAAAAAGCAGCCAUGCUCAGGAGCACGAAGAAUUGUUGCAUCAGUUUAUGUGGUUUCAGACACUGGUAAAGAGGAAGACUCAGAUUAGCCCCCAAGAGAGAAAGCAAGCAGCAAGGAACGUCAGAAUCGAAACAAACAAUAAGAAUAAACAUAUACAGUUUGAUAUAUAUACUAGAACUGAUAUUAAAUUCGACUAUGAGAAACAAAAUUAAGUAUAACUGGUGCUGUAUCCUGGCAUCAGGACAAACUAAAGCUUUCAGCUCCAAUAUAUCUUCUCGUGCAGGGGAAAUUAAGUUGUCACAUCUUUAAGUACAUUGUAGUUUAUUUUUGCCCAAGUGGAUCUGCAUUAAUUUGUAUCUUUUUUUUCUAUGUAAAAUUCUGUAGAAAUCAUUAAUAAAGGUGUGUCUGUUUUUAUUUUUUUAAGUUGAUAAACAGUUAUAUUAACCUAAUGUGGACCUAUACAUGAGCAUACUAAAGUGUCAGUGCUUCCCAAAGACUUUAUUUUGGCACGAAUUAUGUUCCUAGCCAGAUAUAGAGAUUAUGGAAAAUACAUGACAAAUCUUCCUUUAUCCUCCUCCCAAACCCUUUUCUUCAUGGCGGAAGUAAGAAACCAUGCAUUGAUUUUUUUUUUUAUUUUUUUUUUUUGUCAUUUGAAAAACCUCUUAAGAUACUGCACUUCAGAAUUUUGAAAUGGAAAAAAACCCCCAAACCUUAAUUUCUGAUCACUCUGUGCAGCUGCUCUGCCUCUUUAUUUAUCUGUACAAUUACACUUUUAAAACUGCUGAUGCGCCAUGUUGGUUUUUUCUGUCUAGUAGAAAAUCAAAUUGUCAGUGAAACUGUUUCUCUGGAAAAUAUUUCCCUUUCACAUUCUGUUAACCAGUGCUUCAGUGUGCAUCUGUUAUUCCAUAUCCUGCCGAGGGUGAGCGAGAUGCUUUCUCUCAGCCAUAAUUCUGCUUUACGGUUUUUGUAGCUUAAUUAAAUAAUAAUGUGAUGCUAUCGACAUUGCAGGGGUUUUAAACAAUGUGUUUAAACCUGUUUCAGCUUUCAGGUGUUAUUAGUUAACUUGCAGACCAUUUUUAAUCCUUCCCUUCAUUACUCCCUCCCAGCCCCCCAAAUCCUAAUGCCAUUUAAAGUUUUUAUACCAAUAAUGCUGAGCUUUAACGUAGGAACUAAUAGUACGGAUAAUAUGAUGGAUUAUGCCUCAGAUGUUUAAAAUUGACGGUGUGUAUGUCUAAUUUUUUUUUUUUUUUUUCUGUUGGAUGAGUAAAAAAAAAACCUGUUUUAAGAAACUGAAUUUGCUGUCAUGUUUUUGUGGAGUGAGGGGACCGUCGGAGAACCUGUCACCAACUGGAGUUCCAAUUAAGCAUGGAAAUGGUGCUCAUGUCCGCUGCUCUAGCACACUGAAUCUGCACGUGUUUAUUGUAGAGGAUCUUUUACUAUAUUAGAAAGCAAGUAUCUUCUGAAUACUAUUUACUCCAAAAGGACCUCCAAUUUAAAUAAAGUUUAAUCUGUAUCAUUUAGACUUGUAUUUAGAACGUAUAACUCUGUCUCUGGACUGUUACUGCCUGUAAGGGGUAAUGGACAGCAUCAGAUUAACUUUUUCCUCUAGGAGAAUACAAGCCUUAAUAAACAAUACAUAUUUAGCAA
RNA transcript from Corapipo altera (White-ruffed manakin), 3715 nucleotides. It is a transcript of the gene named YTH N6-methyladenosine RNA binding protein 1, with no coding region annotated. The record is from RefSeq and is a predicted model, not a curated record. The transcript has 6 exons. NCBI's taxonomy places the organism in Eukaryota, Metazoa, Chordata, Aves, Passeriformes, Pipridae.